CCUACGGGGGGCAGCAGUGGGGAAUAUUGCGCAAUGGGGGAAACCCUGAUGCAGCGACGCCGCGUGAGUGAAGAAGUAUCUCGGUACGUAAAGCUCUAUCAGCAGGGAAGAAAAUGACGGUAGCUGACUAAGAAGCCCCGGCUAACUACGUGCCAGCAGCCGCGGUAAUACGUCGGGGGCAAGCGUUCUCCGGAUUUACUGGGUGUAAAGGGAGCGGAGACGGCAGCACAAGUCUGGAGUGAAAUCCCGGGGCUGAACCCCGGAACUGCUUUGGAAACUGUGCGGCUGGAGUGCAGGAGGGGUAAGCGGAAUUCCUAGUGUAGCGGUGAAAUGCGUAGAUAUUAGGAGGAACACCAGUGGCGAAGGCGGCUUACUGGAAUGUAACUGACGUUGAGGCGCGAAAGCGUGGGGAGCAAACAGGAUUAGAUACCCCUGUAGUC
RNAcentral lists this ribosomal RNA (440 nucleotides) under uncultured bacterium. RNAcentral's name for it is "partial 16S ribosomal RNA". It matches the Rfam family "Bacterial small subunit ribosomal RNA", at positions 338 to 795 of the family's 1533-position model. The record is from RNAcentral.